UGGGGAAUAUUGCACAAUGGGCGCAAGCCUGAUGCAGCGACGCCGCGUGAGGGAUGACGGCCUUCGGGUUGUAAACCUCUUUCAGUAGGGACGAAGGGAAAGUGACGGUACCUGCAGAAGAAGCACCGGCCAACUACGUGCCAGCAGCCGCGGUAAUACGUAGGGUCCGAGCGUUUUCCGGAAUUAUUGGGCGUAAGGACUUGUUNGCCGUUUUGUCGCUUCGUUUGUGAAAACCCGGGGCUCAACCGGGGGCUUGCGGUGGGUACGGGCAGACUAGAGUGCGGUAGGGGAGACUGGAAUUCCUGGUGUAGCGGUGGAAUGCGCAGAUAUCAGGAGGAACACCGGUGGCGAAGGCGGGUCUCUGGGCCGUAACUGACGCUGA
RNAcentral lists this ribosomal RNA (382 nucleotides) under uncultured bacterium. RNAcentral describes it as "bacterial SSU rRNA". It matches the Rfam family "Bacterial small subunit ribosomal RNA", at positions 355 to 749 of the family's 1533-position model. The record is from RNAcentral.